GAAUGAGUCAGAGGUGCAGGGAGAACCUCAAACAUCAAAUUUCUAUGCAAAUCUCUGAAUUAUUACUUUCUGUUUGUCUUUGAUAUGAGUGCAACCUACAAUGUGUUAGAAAAUAUGAUGUGAAAUACCAGCUACUUGGGAACCUGAGCAGGAGGAUUGCAAUUUGGAGAUCAGCCUGGACAACUUAGCAAAACCCUUCUUCAAAAGAAAAAGUUAAAAGGGCUAAGGAUGUAGCUCAGUGGUAUCACACAUGACUAGGAUGCAUGAGGCUGAAGGUUUAAUUCCCAGUAACAACCCCCUGUCCCAAAUUUAUAUAUAUAUAAUUUUUCCUUCAUAUCCAUAACAGUGCCUUUUAACCUUUGAAAAUCUUUUAGGAUCAAUAAUAUAUAUGUUCCCCAUAAUCUCUUUUGUACAGCAAUAAGGACCCCAUGCCUACAGAGAGGACUAUUCUUGCAAUCCUACAUUAUUAAAAAAGAGUUUUGGAAAAGGUCAGUUUUUCAGUCCUACUGUGGUAAGUUAGUUAAAAUUGUAUUUUUUAAUUAAAUAUUUGUGAAUUAAAUGCCCAACUUGGGCCUUCAAACUUAAUAAUGCUCCUCAAAUUCAAUAAUGAGUGACUAAAAAGACAGGCUGGGGUCUUCAAUGUCUUCCUAAAUCUUCAUUUUUUGGGUGAUCUCAUUUCUUAUCUAUUUAAGCAUCUAUAAAUUGACAAAUAUAUUCUAUAGGAUUUCAGUUAAAUUUAUACAAGUUUUUAUUUCCAGCAGAAUUAUUCCUUUACUCUUUCUAAACAUUCUUUUUGGUGUCAAAUACAUACUUUAACGCUAGGGAUCAUGGUUCCCAUGGAUACGGAUUCCUGUAUAGUAGCCAAGUGAAUGGAAUGAGAUUUAAGACAUUUCCUGGUGUUAUCUACCAUUCUCUAGUGAACUUCCUGCAGAAUUGCCAGCCUGCUUCAGUAUUGUCAUAAGUUAUUGUCUAGGUUAGAAAGACAGGUGCCAAAAUAUCAAUUUCAAUGAAAACUGUACUUUCUUUUAUCAGCUUGUCUUUAGCCCAAACAGCUCACCUAUGGUAUAUUUAGGAAUCAGCUAUACAUUUUGUGUUUCUAAGGUCCAAAAUAUUUGUUUCACCUAUAAAAAAGUUUAGGGUCACACACUUAAAAACUUGCAUGUUACUUUCUAAGUAAACUAGGAAAAUUUCUACAAGCUAUGAUGUUAUUGUUUUGUCUAUGUUCAAAUAUCAGGAAACAAUAUUUAUCUAAAGGAAAACUCCCCCCUUUUUUUCUUUGCUUCUUUUCCCAUACCAUUGGGAUAUGUUCAGUGUUAGUAUUUUGCCUGUAACUCCCCAAAUACACAAGGAAGGCCUAAUGACGAAAGCAUCGCAUAUGAAGUAUUUUGAAAGUGUUCAUUUUGGCCCUUUGGAUUAAAUUAGGGAAAAAACCCAUGGAUGCUAUUAAAACUA
This 1452-nucleotide long non-coding RNA is filed under the name Marmota monax (woodchuck). The record is from RNAcentral. Lineage: Eukaryota; Metazoa; Chordata; Mammalia; Rodentia; Sciuridae.